Non-coding RNA from Odocoileus virginianus texanus, 398 nucleotides. The record is from RefSeq and is a predicted model, not a curated record. NCBI's taxonomy places the organism in Eukaryota, Metazoa, Chordata, Mammalia, Artiodactyla, Cervidae.
GGCUCUCGGGAUUCAGUUGAGAAGCUGCUAUUGAUCGCGGGAGAUAAAUGUGGAUAAAUGUGCAGAUAUUGUUUUAUAUUAGUAUUCAGAUGUUAUAAAAAUCGUUUUAUCUUCAGGAUGUAACUUGAGAAUAGGAACUGUGGCUGCCGAUUGUUCCAAACAUUCUAGAGCUGCUCAUCUUAAGGAAGAAAGAGAUACAGUCAGAGGUUAGCCACCAGUACAGCUUUGAAUCACUAGGAGCCUGAAAUUUUAGGCAUUAAUGAACAAAAGGACAGUGUGAAAAAAAUGAAGGACCAGUCCAAGUGCACUUAAAUAUCAGACGCAGAUGACCUCUAGUCCAGUUAGCAGGAACCUGUGACCUACCGCUUCUCUCUGUCCAACCAAAGAGCCGGGGGGGG